ACAGCCAUACCACAUUAAAAUACUGGAUCUUGUAUGAUCACCAAAGUUAAGCCAUGUCAAGUCUGGUUAGUACCUAGAUAGGUGACUGCUUGGGAAUACCAGGUGCUGUAAG
Non-coding RNA from Acanthosepion pharaonis, 112 nucleotides. NCBI's taxonomy places the organism in Eukaryota, Metazoa, Mollusca, Cephalopoda, Sepiida, Sepiidae. The record is from the annotation of a GenBank genome assembly.